Sitodiplosis mosellana (orange wheat blossom midge) is the source of this 469-nucleotide long non-coding RNA. RefSeq lists it as uncharacterized. NCBI's taxonomy places the organism in Eukaryota, Metazoa, Arthropoda, Insecta, Diptera, Cecidomyiidae. The record is from RefSeq and is a predicted model, not a curated record. The transcript is spliced from 3 exons.
ACGCGGUUGACGCAUCUACAUUCGAGCAUCUUCAAGCAUCUAUCAACCAUUAAGACAAUUGAUUUACGUAAAAACCAAUUUGAUUAUUAUGACGGAUCGUUGAUAUUACCAUCAAAACUUCAAGAGUUAUAUUUAAGCGAAAACCCAUAUGAUUGUUCUAAAAAUUUUAAAUGGAUUAUGAACAUUUCUAAAACAAAACAUAUAAUGGAUCGACAAUUCCUACAGUGCGGAGAUAAUCGUUUCAAAAACCAGUCCAUUGUUACAGUCAUGAGAUUUAAUUCGUCUUUACGUGAAAUGUGUCAUAGGAACAUAGAAUUACGAAAUUGCACCUGUAUGUUAAGCUACAUCGCCUUAGAUUUAGAUGAAGUUUGGCGACCAAUGUACUCGAUCAACUGCAAUAAUUUGAACUUGACCCGUCUUCCCAUCUCUGUACCGGAUAAUACGACCAUUUUUUAUGCGCAAUAUAAUC